CCUACGGGAGGCAGCAGUAGGGAAUAUUGCUCAAUGGGGGAAACCCUGAAGCCGCAACGCCGCGUGGAGGAUGAAGGUUUUCGGAUUGUAAACUCCUUUUGUUAGAGAAGAUAAUGACGGUAUCUAACGAAUAAGCACCGGCUAACUCCGUGCCAGCAGCCGCGGUAAUACGGAGGGUGCAAGCGUUACUCGGAAUCACUGGGCGUAAAGAGCGCGUAGGCGGGAUAGCAAGUCAGAUGUGAAAUACUAUGGCUUAACCAUAGUACUGCAUUUGAAACUGUUAUUCUAGAGUAUGGGAGAGGUAGGUGGAAUUCUUGGUGUAGAGGUAAAAUCCGUAGAGAUCAAGAGGAAUACUCAUUGCGAAGGCGACCUGCUAGAACAUAACUGACGCUGAUGCGCGAAAGCGUGGGUAGCAAACAGGAUUAGAUACCCUAGUAGUC
This 440-nucleotide ribosomal RNA is filed under the name uncultured bacterium. Its description in RNAcentral is "partial 16S ribosomal RNA". It matches the Rfam family "Bacterial small subunit ribosomal RNA", at positions 338 to 795 of the family's 1533-position model. The record is from RNAcentral.